AACUUACAAAACUAAAAUAUCAUAAUGUUGAUCAUGCAUGGUACUGAAUUGACCUCCAAAUUCAAAGAGGAAAAACGUGUAGUAUUUUUCUCAUGGUGGUUAUCUUUCAGAUUAACAAACUUGAUCCAGGGGAAAAGAGUGGAUUUUACACUAUUUAAGAUAAUUGAUGAACCUCAAUAGGAAACUAAUAAACUGACAAUAAUAGAAAACCAAUCCUCAGGCAAUUAUGAUGACUGGUGAUGCUAAAGAAAAAAAUGCUUGCCCCUUUAUCAGUAAGAGAGUUCAGAAGGGCAAAGAGAUGGUUGUCUUGUCUGCCAUCAUGAGGAGUAUUUUCAUCUUUUCAAGUCCAAAGGAGGAAUUAAAUGGCAAGAAAAACAAAUAAGGUAACCACUCAUACCUUUAGGCCAUUAAAAUUGUGGCUGUGUGUUGAAAUUAAAAUGGAGAUUGCUUGAAAGUAGCAGCUGUGAAAAGGAUAUCCUGUUAUAACUUAAAAUAUAAUAAGCAUUGUACAGAUUAAUCCACUUGAUAGUCAACAGAUUUAACAGAGAACUCAAGGUAACCAAUGGUGCUCCAGGGAAAUUCACUCUGCCAUAGGGGCAGUAAAACUAGACAGUUCAAAAUGAAAAAUAUUUUUGGGUUGUCUGGAAAAGAUGGCCAUAGGUGAACACCAUUGUCAUCUUGUUUGAUAUGAAAUAAAUGAACAUUAUGCAAGUUGAGGAAAUUGUUCCAGGGAACUGAGGAGUUUCUACAAAAGGCAACCAAUGAUACUCCAAGGGAAUGCACUCCACCAUAGUGCCAGUAAAAGAUGCAGUUUGACAUGGAGAAAAGAAUACUUUUGGGUUGUUUAGAAAAGGGGACAAUGAGAGAACAGGAUUAUCCUCUUAUUGAAUUUGAAAUUUAAUGAACAAUAUACAAAAGAAAUUUUAUCCACUGAAGAGAUUCUACAAAGAAAGGGAGGCUUGAUGUGCAAACUAUAAGUAGGAAACAAGCAUUAGUAGUGAAUGUAAAACCAAUGGUGCUGGAAACGAAAUCAUCUUUACCCAUGUCAGUAAAACUCCAUGCAGUUCAAAAGAAAACAAAAAAACUUUGUCUUGUCUUAAAGAUAACAAUCCUGAUCACACCCUUGGCUAUCUUGUUGAACUUGAAUUAUAAGGAACAUUGCACAAGUUGAAAGAAUUGAUCCCGUGGAAAGUUCUACAAAGAACUCAGGAUAAACAGUGAUACAACAAGGAAGCACACUCAACCAUAGGGCCAGUAAAAACCAGUGCAAAUGUUAUUUGCUUGUCUGGAAGGUAGCCAUAAGUGAAACGGAUUGUCAGAAUUUAAGAAUGUUGCCCAGGUUAGUAUUUGAUGCAGUGGAACAGGAAGCUUCUACAAAGAACCCAUGAUAACCAAUGAUACAACCAAGGAAAUCCACUCCACUGUAGUGCAAGUAAACAUAAGUGGAGUUCAAAUUAGAGCAAAUACAAUUUGCUUGUCUGGAAGGUAGCCAUGAGUGAACAGGAUUGUCAAAAUUUAGAAUGUUGCCCAGGUUCGGAUUUGAUGCAGUGGAAAGGGAGGCUUCUACAAAGAACCCAUGAUAACCAAUGAUACAACCAAGGAGUUCAAAUUAGAGCAAAUGCAAUUUGCUUGUCUGGAAGGUAGGUUAGUAUUUGAUGCAGUGGAAUAGGAAGCUUCUUCAAAGAACCCAGGAUAACCAAUGAUACAACCAAGGAAAUCCACUCCACUGUAGUGCAAGUAAACAUAAGUGGAGUUCAAAUUAGAGCAAAUAAAAUUUGCUUGUCUGGAAGGUAGCCAUGAGUGAACAGGAUUGUCAAAAUUUAGAAUGUUGCACAGGUUGAAAGAAUUGAUCCAGUUGAAAGUUCUACAAAGAACCCAGGAUAAACAGUGAUACAACCAAGGAAGCACACUCAACUAUAGUGCCAGUAAAAACCAGUGCAAAUGUUAUUUGCUUGUCUGGAACGUAGCCAUAAGUGAAACGGAUUGUCAGAAUUUAAGAAUGUUGCCCAGGUUCGGAUUUGAUGCAGUGGAAAGGGAGGCUUCUACAAAGAACCCAUGAUAACCAAUGAUACAACCAAGGACAUCCACUCCACUUAUUAGAGCAAAUACAAUUUUCUUGUCGGGAAGGUAGCCAGGAGUGAACAGGAUUGUCAGAAUUUGAAUGUUGCACAGGUUGAAAGAAUUGAUCCCGUGGAAAGUUCUAGAAAGAACUCAGGGUAAACAGUGAUACAACCAAGGAAAUCCACUCCACUGUAGUGCAAGUAAAAAUAAGUGGAGUUUAAAUUAGAGCAAAUACAAUUUGCUUGUCUGGAAGGUAGCCAUGAGUGAACAGGACUGUCAGAAUUUGAGAAUGAUGCACAGAUCAAUUAUCUAGAUCCAGUGAGCAGAAGAGAUUCUAAAGAUACCUUAGUCUUGAAGUAGAUAAUCAAUCUACAGGUAAACUGAUAUUUCAAGAAAAUCAUCUUCACCUGCUGUUCAAAAUGGAGGAAACCUUACUUUUGCGAGUAAAAUGUUUAGUGAAAGUAAAUUCAGCCAAAGGAAGUAAUUUUAUUAUGAAAUUGCUGCGGAUUGGAAUGUCUAUAAUGUAAAAGUUGUGGACAUUGGAAUAAAAGAGAGGGAGGUUGGACCAGUGAGGAGAAAUGAGUGUUGCUUUCUAGGUCAAAAGAGGAAGUUCAGUUGCAUUAAAAAAAAAAAAAAAAAAAAAAAAAAAAAAAAAAAAAAAAAAUAUAUAUAUAUAUAGGUAAGUCUCAGAUGUCACUUUAUGGCUUAAAGGUUUUUUAAACUGAUUGAUAGCUGCAUGACAAAACAGUUAACAAUCCUGAUGUUGGAGAUGAUACAUAUUAAAAUAGAUAGAUUUGUUUCUAAGUAAUGCCUGUGUAAUGCUAGUUUAUAUUUAGCACAUUAUAACAGAUUUUGAACUAGACAAAUUUUCAGCAUACAUGUGCAUUUUUUUGUACACGUGCACACUCGCCCAUUUACCCAGAAAAUAGCUAAUCUUUAAUGUGACGUUAAUAGGAUGAAAAAUAUCUUCUUUCCCCAUCCGAAAAGUAAUGAAGGACAAUGAAGAAUCUGAAAAUUACUUAUGAUAAUAUCUUGUCUUCUGUACAUACCACAAGACUUAAUGGAAUUUCUUUUCAGGUAAUCACUGAUACUUCUAAGGAGAUUGUCUUCAUAUCCUUGGGCCAGUAAAACUACUUGUGCAACCCAAAUGGGUCAACUUGCAGGUGGUUAUUGUGAGCAGGAAUAUAUCCUUGAAAUUGAAUGAUCAUUGUAGAAGAGAUUUAUCCAGUAGAAUUAAAGGAAUACAGAUCGGGGCCACAUUUUACCUUUAAAUAUAUUACCUGAUGAUAUUGGUGAUAUGGGAAGAAGAACAAGGAAUAUUUUUGGUUUCUGUUUUUAAAAGGUCCAAAAAAGGAGUUAACUGCAGGUGAAUCCAGUUAAGGUAAAUGACUGUGAAUAUAGAAAUUAUUAAAACUCUUGAGCAGUAAUUCGUGAUGAUCCCUUGAAUAAGUAACAAUUACAUGAAGGCCUUAAUAUUAAAUGUUGAACAUUUGAGGUACUUUAGAGGAACGAAGAAAAAAUUAUAUAAACUACUGUACUUAACUACUUAUUCAGCCAGGAUUUGGUAAACAAGACUUGUAUUAAAAAAUAAAAGUUUCCCCAUUGACUAACUUUU
Penaeus chinensis is the source of this 3676-nucleotide long non-coding RNA. RefSeq lists it as uncharacterized. The record is from RefSeq and is a predicted model, not a curated record. The transcript has 33 exons. Lineage: Eukaryota; Metazoa; Arthropoda; Malacostraca; Decapoda; Penaeidae.